This 109-nucleotide ribosomal RNA is filed under the name uncultured bacterium. RNAcentral describes it as "partial 16S ribosomal RNA". It matches the Rfam family "Bacterial small subunit ribosomal RNA", at positions 1373 to 1482 of the family's 1533-position model. The record is from RNAcentral.
CCCGGGUCUUGUACACACCGCCCGUCACACCGUGGGAGUGGGUUGCUCCAGAAGGCGUUAGUCUAACCGCAAGGGGACGACGCCCACGGAGUGGUCCAUGACUGGGGUG